This is a non-coding RNA of Thamnophis sirtalis, 321 nucleotides long. The record is from RefSeq and is a predicted model, not a curated record. Lineage: Eukaryota; Metazoa; Chordata; Lepidosauria; Squamata; Natricidae.
CACUUGGUCCAGAACCAAUCCCAACAUGAAGAUCUUUUAUCUGCUGUUCGCAUUCCUUUUCCUUGCAUUCCUGUCUGAACCAGGUAGUGCCCAGAGCCUGUGUCAUCGUAAAAGAGGACGAUGCCUUGAGAUCUGUCCAAAAGGCACUAAGGACAUUCACAGAUGGGACUGUAGACAUGGAUUGACAUGCUGUGUACCUGCCAGAGGAAAAUAAUUCCAUCUCCAUCUACCAGCCAGGAUGUCUUCAAGAUAUGACCAAUGACCUGAGAUUGCUGCCUGCUAUUGCUUUAUCUUCCUUUACAUGAAUCAAAUUGCUAUGUA